This 465-nucleotide ribosomal RNA is filed under the name Vreelandella stevensii. RNAcentral's name for it is "partial 16S ribosomal RNA". It matches the Rfam family "Bacterial small subunit ribosomal RNA", at positions 338 to 795 of the family's 1533-position model. Lineage: Bacteria; Pseudomonadati; Pseudomonadota; Gammaproteobacteria; Oceanospirillales; Halomonadaceae. The record is from RNAcentral.
CCUACGGGGCGCAGCAGUGGGGAAUAUUGGACAAUGGGCGAAAGCCUGAUCCAGCCAUGCCGCGUGUGUGAAGAAGGCCUUCGGGUUGUAAAGCACUUUCAGUGGGGAAGAAAGCCUUGGGGCUAAUACCCUCGAGGAAGGACAUCACCCACAGAAGAAGCACCGGCUAACUCCGUGCCAGCAGCCGCGGUAAUACGGAGGGUGCGAGCGUUAAUCGGAAUUACUGGGCGUAAAGCGCGCGUAGGCGGUCUGAUAAGCCGGUUGUGAAAGCCCCGGGCUCAACCUGGGAACGGCAUCCGGAACUGUCAGGCUAGAGUGCAGGAGAGGAAGGUAGAAUUCCCGGUGUAGCGGUGAAAUGCGUAGAGAUCGGGAGGAAUACCAGUGGCGAAGGCGGCCUUCUGGACUGACACUGACGCUGAGGUGCGAAAGCGUGGGUAGCAAACAGGAUUAGAUCCCCGUGUAGUC